AGUGAACGCUGGCGGUAGGCCUAACACAUGCAAGUCGAACGGCAGCACAGUAAGAGCUUGCUCUUACGGGUGGCGAGUGGCGGACGGGUGAGGAAUACAUCGGAAUCUACUUUUUCGUGGGGGAUAACGUAGGGAAACUUACGCUAAUACCGCAUACGACCUACGGGUGAAAGCAGGGGAUCUUCGGACCUUGCGCGAUUGAAUGAGCCGAUGUCGGAUUAGCUAGUUGGCGGGGUAAAGGCCCACCAAGGCGACGAUCCGUAGCUGGUCUGAGAGGAUGAUCAGCCACCCUGGAACUGGGACACGGUCCAGGCUCCUACGGGAGGCAGCAGUGGGGAAUAUUGGACAAUGGGCGCAAGCCUGAUCCAGCCAUACCGCGUGGGUGAAGAAGGCCUUCGGGUUGUAAAGCCCUUUUGUUGGGAAAGAAAAGCAGCAGGUUAAUACCCCGCUGUUCUGACGGUACCCAAAGAAUAAGCACCGGCUAACUUCGUG
RNAcentral lists this ribosomal RNA (492 nucleotides) under uncultured bacterium. RNAcentral's name for it is "partial 16S ribosomal RNA". It matches the Rfam family "Bacterial small subunit ribosomal RNA", at positions 29 to 507 of the family's 1533-position model. The record is from RNAcentral.